GAGCUAUUGAAGUAGUCAUAUAGUCAAAAAACAAUCAAUAUGAUUUUUCCAGCUUGAGGUAGCUUUGGUGUAUUGUGUUCUUCAGUAUUGUCCCUCAUUAACUCAUCCUGAAAAAGAUAUUUUAGCCAUUUCAGAGUUUCUAGGGUUUUGUAUUUGUGUAUAUGUCUUGUGUAUCUUGUGUGUCUUACUAUGCAUGAACUGAAGAGUUUUUGGAAUAAAUAAGCUCUGAAAUAGGAUUAACUUUGUCAUAACAUACUGCCCUUACUUUCAGGAGGAAGAAGUUAAAGCUCCAUGUUUUGCCCCAAAGGGAAAAGUGUUAAAACUGACCUUUGAAACUAUAGGAUGAUAACAUUUAAAGGAAAUUUAAAGUUCAGCCACCACAAGUACUUGGCAGUUCUACCAUAUUCCUGACAAGAGAUCAUUCAUUCAACGAAUGCCUAAGUCCCUAGUGAUAAAGGACUUAAAUAUUUCCUCCAAUGAGAGAGUCUUACUGCUCCCAGUUUCUAUCUGGUUGACUUAUUUUGGGAACAACUUAGGAAUCUUUCUUCUACAUGAAUAGUCACAUAAAUAUUCCCAUAUAUUAAUAAAAACAGUUAUUACACAUCUAUAUUGUUAGUUUUUUGAGGGACCUCUGUAUCAUUUUCCAGAAUGGCUGUGCUAAUUUACAUUUACACCAACAGUGUAUAAGAUUCCCUUUUCUCCACACCCUCACCAAAACUUACUACCUUUUGCAUUUUUGAUAAAAGCCAUUCUAACAGGUGAAAUAUGGUAUUUCAUUGUGGUCUUAAUUUGUGUUUCUCUGAUGAUUAGCAAUGUUGAGGAUUUUUUCAUGUAUCCACUGGGCAUUUGUAUGUCUUCUUCAUGAGAAUGUGGGGAAUCAAAAACAAUUUAACUAAUAGAAGCAGAGAGUAGAAUGAUGUUUAUAGAGGCUGCGGGUGGGAGAAUGGAGAGAUGAUGCUCAAAAGGUACAAAAUCCUAGACAAGAGGAACAUGGUGUUUUUUCCCCCCUUUUUGGAGGUUCUAUUGCCCAACUUGUUGAAUAUAGUUAAUAGUAAGAGUGCUGUAAAUUUCAAAAUUGAUAAGAGAGUAAGUUUCAAAUGUUCUCAUUACAGAAAUGUUCCAUAUUUGAGGUGAUGAAUGUAUUAACUAGUUUGAUUUUUAAUUAUUUCACAUCUUGUUGAUUAUUACUUCACUUUGUAUGCCAUAAAAAUUAUAUAAUUAUAAAUGGUCGAUUUUAUAAUAGGAACAAAGUAUCAACUGGAAUGUCACAAAAAAUAAUUUAAAAAUAAAAAGAGUUCAGGCCCUUCCUGGGGCUUCUCUUUCUAAUUUAAAUGUCUCUUACUUUAAGAUUUACACUUGGCAGGUCAUGAGGUCAGGAGAUCGAGACCAUCCUGGCUAGCAUGGUAAAACCCCGU
RNAcentral lists this long non-coding RNA (1415 nucleotides) under Homo sapiens (human). RNAcentral's name for it is "HSALNT0080791". The record is from RNAcentral. Lineage: Eukaryota; Metazoa; Chordata; Mammalia; Primates; Hominidae.